GCGAAAGUGGCGAAAUUGGCAGACGCACCAGACUUAGGAUCUGGCGGAGCAAUCCAUAGGGGUUCAAGUCCCCUCUUUCGCA
Molecule: transfer RNA, 82 nt
Filed under: Granulicella pectinivorans
Lineage: Bacteria; Pseudomonadati; Acidobacteriota; Terriglobia; Terriglobales; Acidobacteriaceae
Rfam family: tRNA
About the family: Transfer RNA (tRNA) molecules are approximately 80 nucleotides in length. Their secondary structure includes four short double-helical elements and three loops (D, anti-codon, and T loops).
Source: Rfam by way of RNAcentral